UAAAAAGGCACCGGAUGAACUGUGGAUAGCGGAGAAAUUCCAAUCGAACUCAGAGAUAGCUGGUUCUCCUCGAAAUAGCUUUAGGGCUAGCCUUGAGGUUAAAGCAUAUGGGGGUAGAGCACUGAAUGAGGUAGGGGCCUAACCAGGUUACCAAACUCUAUCAAACUCCGAAUACCAUAUGUAAAUACUCAGGAGUCAGACUGCGGGAGCUAAGUUCCGUGGUCAAAAGGAAAACAGUCCAGACCGUCAAUUAAGGUCCCAAAGAUAUAGCUAAGUGGAAAACGAUGUGAUUUUGCGUAAACAACCAGGAUGUUGGCUCAGAAGCAGCCAUUCAUUUAAAGAGUGCGUAAUAGCUCACUGGUCGAGUGAAGUUGCGCGGAAAAUUACCGGGGCUAAGCUAUACACCGAAAUUGCGGAUUUGCAGUUGAAAGAUACUGUAAGUGGUAGAGGAGCAUUCUGUAGUAGGACGAAGCAGUACCGAAAGGAGCUGUGGACGAGGCAGAAGAGAGAAUGCUGGAAUAAGUAGCGAGAGGAUGGUGAGAAUCCAUCCCGUCGAAAAUCUAAGGUUUCCUAGGGAAGGUUCGUCCGCCUAGGGUAAGUCGGGACCUAAGGAGAGGCCAAAAGGCGUAUCUGAUGGACAGCAGGUUGAAAUUCCUGCACUAUAGCUAUACUUAAAAGAUGCAAGGGACGCAGAAGUGGAAGAUAACCAUGGAAGAGGAAAUACAUGGCCCGCAAGGGGGAGUGAAACAAUAAGUAACGAAGUAUCAAGAAGCACGCUGACGAGAAAAGCUUGUAGAUAUUGUAUAGAAAUACCCGUACCGCAAACCGACACAGGUAGAUGAGGAGAGGAUCCUAAGACGAGCGGGAGAAGCAUUGUUAAGGAACUCGGCAAAUUAACCCCGUAACUUCGGAAUAAGGGGUACUGAUGUAACAGUCAGUCGCAGAGAAAAGGCCCAAGCAACUGUUUAACAAAAACAUAGGUUUCUGCUAAAUCGAAAGAUGAAGUAUAGGAGCUGACGCCUGCCCAGUGCUGGAAGGUUAAGGGAAGAGGUUAGAUUAUAUCAAAGCUUCGAACUGAAGCCCCAGUGAACGGCGGCCGUAACUAUAACGGUCCUAAGGUAGCGAAAUUCCUUGUCAGGUAAGUUCUGACCCGCACGAAAGGCGUAAUGAUUUGGGCACUGUCUCGACAAUGUCCCCGGCGAAAUUGUAGUACUAGUGAAGAUGCUAGUUACCUGCGAUAAGACAGAAAGACCCCAUGGAGCUUUACUGCAGUUUGAUACUGGGUUUCGAUGAUUUAUGUACAGGAUAGUUGGGAGGCUAUGAGUAAGAGGCGUCAGCUUCUUAGGAGCCAACGUUGGGAUACCAACCUUAAGUUAUUGAAAUUCUAACCUUUGAUCAUGAACUGGUCAGGGGACAAUGUCAGACGGGCAGUUUGACUGGGGCGGUCGCCUCCUAAAGAGUAACGGAGGCGUCCAAAGGUUCCCUCAGCGCGGACAGAAAUCGCGCGAAAGAGUGCAAAGGCAGAAGGGAGCUUAACUGAGAGACAGACAUGUCGACCAGAUACGAAAGUAGGGCUUAGUGAUCCGGUGGUUGUAAAUGGAAAUGCCAUCGCUCAACGGACAAAAGUUACCCUGGGGAUAACAGGCUUAUCUCCCCCAAGAGUUCACAUCGACGGGGAGGUUUGGCACCUCGAUGUCGGCUCAUCGCAUCCUGGAGCGGAAGUACGUUCCAAGGGUUGGGCUGUUCGCCCAUUAAAGCGGUACGCGAGCUGGGUUCAGAACGUCGUGAGACAGUUCGGUCCUUAUCUAUCGCAGGCGUAAGAUAUUUGAAGAGUGCUGUCCUUAGUACGAGAGGACCAGGAUGGACAUACCAAUGGUGUAUCAGUUGUCUCACCAGAGGCACGGCUGAGUAGCUAAGUAUGGAUUGGAUAAACGCUGAAAGCAUCUAAGUGUGAAGCCAACUCUAAGAUAAGAUAUCUCAUAUCGU
RNAcentral lists this ribosomal RNA (1986 nucleotides) under human gut metagenome. RNAcentral's name for it is "bacterial LSU rRNA". It matches the Rfam family "Bacterial large subunit ribosomal RNA", at positions 790 to 2822 of the family's 2925-position model. The record is from RNAcentral.